Molecule: ribosomal RNA, 969 nt
Filed under: uncultured Gammaproteobacteria bacterium
Lineage: Bacteria; Pseudomonadati; Pseudomonadota; Gammaproteobacteria
Description: partial 16S ribosomal RNA
Source: RNAcentral
UAAUACGACUCACUAUAGGGCGAAUUGAAUUUAGCGGCCGCGAAUUCGCCCUUCCCCGUCAAUUCAUUUGAGUUUUAGUCUUGCGACCGUACUCCCCAGGCGGUCUACUUAUCGCGUUAGCUGCGCCACUAAAGCCUCAAAGGCCCCAACGGCUAGUAGACAUCGUUUACGGCAUGGACUACCAGGGUAUCUAAUCCUGUUUGCUCCCCAUGCUUUCGCACCUCAGUGUCAGUAUUAGGCCAGAUGGCUGCCUUCGCCAUCGGUAUUCCUCCAGAUCUCUACGCAUUUCACCGCUACACCUGGAAUUCUACCAUCCUCUCCCAUACUCUAGCCAACCAGUAUCGAAUGCAAUUCCCAAGUUAAGCUCGGGGAUUUCACAUUUGACUUAAUUGGCCACCUACGCGCGCUUUACGCCCAGUAAAUCCGAUUAACGCUUGCACCCUCUGUAUUACCGCGGCUGCUGGCACAGAGUUAGCCGGUGCUUAUUCUGCGAGUAACGUCCACUAUCCAAGAGUAUUAAUCUCGGUAGCCUCCUCCUCGCUUAAAGUGCUUUACAACCAAAAGGCCUUCUUCACACACGCGGCAUGGCUGGAUCAGGGUUCCCCCCAUUGUCCAAUAUUCCCCACUGCUGCCUCCCGUAGGAGUCUGGGCCGUGUCUCAGUCCCAGUGUGGCGGAUCAUCCUCUCAGACCCGCUACAGAUCGUCGCCUUGGUAGGCCUUUACCCCACCAACUAGCUAAUCCGACUUAGGCUCAUCUAUUAGCGCAAGGCCCGAAGGUCCCCUGCUUUCUCCCGUAGGACGUAUGCGGUAUUAGCAUCCCUUUCGAGAUGUUGUCCCCCACUAAUAGGCAGAUUCCUAAGCAUUACUCACCCGUCCGCCGCUAGGUCAAGUAGCAAGCUACUCUUCCCCGCUCGACUUGCAUGUGUUAAGCCUGCCGCCAGCGUUCAAUCUGAGCCAUGAUCAAACUCU